UACGUAGGGUGCAAGCGUUGUCCGGAAUUAUUGGGCGUAAAGAGCUCGUAGGCGGUCUGUCGCGUCUGCUGUGAAAACUCGGGGCUUAACCCCGGGCCUGCAGUGGGUACGGGCAGACUAGAGUGCGGUAGGGGAGACUGGAAUUCCUGGUGUAGCGGUGAAAUGCGCAGAUAUCAGGAGGAACACCGGUGGGCGAAGGCGGGGUCUC
Molecule: ribosomal RNA, 208 nt
Filed under: uncultured bacterium
Lineage: Bacteria
Description: partial 16S ribosomal RNA
Rfam family: Bacterial small subunit ribosomal RNA
Source: RNAcentral